AAAUGAAUAGACGGGGGCCCGCACAAGCGGUGGAUUAUGUGGAUUAAUUCGAUGCAACGCGAAAAACCUUACCUGGCCUUGACAUGUACGGAACUUUCCAGAGAUGGAUUGGUGCCCGAAAGGGAGCCGUAACACAGGUGCUGCAUGGCUGUCGUCAGCUCGUGUCGUGAGAUGUUGGGUUAAGUCCCGCAACGAGCGCAACCCUUGCCAUUAAUUGCCAUCAUUCAGUUGGGCACUUUAAUGGGACUGCCGGUGACAAACCGGAGGAAGGUGGGGAUGACGUCAAGUCCUCAUGGCCCUUAUGGCCAGGGCUUCACACGUAAUACAAUGGUCGGUACAGAGGGCAGCCAACCCGCGAGGGGGAGCCAAUCCCAGAAAGCCGAUCGUAGUCCGGAUUGCAGUCUGCAACUCGACUGCAUGAAGUCGGAAUCGCUAGUAAUCGCGGAUCAGCAUGUCGCGGUGAAUACGUUCCCGGGCCUUGUACACACCGCCCGU
This 495-nucleotide ribosomal RNA is filed under the name uncultured bacterium. RNAcentral describes it as "bacterial SSU rRNA". It matches the Rfam family "Bacterial small subunit ribosomal RNA", at positions 903 to 1397 of the family's 1533-position model. The record is from RNAcentral.